This 447-nucleotide ribosomal RNA is filed under the name uncultured bacterium. Its description in RNAcentral is "bacterial SSU rRNA". It matches the Rfam family "Bacterial small subunit ribosomal RNA", at positions 355 to 825 of the family's 1533-position model. The record is from RNAcentral.
UGGGGAAUCUUGGACAAUGGGCGCAAGCCUGAUCCAGCCAUGCCGCGUGGAUGAUGAAGGCCUUAGGGUUGUAAAAUCCUUUCGUUGGGGACGAUAAUGACGGUACCCAAAGAAGAAGCUCCGGCUAACUUCGUGCCAGCAGCCGCGGUAAUACGAAGGGGGCUAGCGUUGUUCGGAUUUACUGGGCGUAAAGCGCGUGUAGGCGGACUUGUAAGUUGGGGGUGAAAUCCCGAGGCUCAACCUCGGAACUGCCUCCAAAACUACAAAUCUGGGCCUAAGUAGAGGCAAGUGGAAUUGCGAGUGUAGAGGUGAAAUUCGUAGAUAUUCGCAGGAACACCAGUGGCGAAGGCGACUUGCUGGACUUAUGGUGACGCUGAGACGCGAAAGCGUGGGGAGCAAACAGGAUUAGAUACCCCAGUAGUCCCUGAGCGGGCUGGCAAGGCGCAU